Molecule: long non-coding RNA, 857 nt
Organism: Pezoporus flaviventris
Lineage: Eukaryota; Metazoa; Chordata; Aves; Psittaciformes; Psittacidae
Exons: 3
Source: RefSeq, a predicted model, not a curated record
CCGUGCUGAGGUGGGUGUGCAAAACCCUGCUUUGCUGCCUUGUUCCUGUUCUUUCACAGGUGAGAACCAAGGUUCUUGUGAAUUCAUACCCAAACAGAUGUCUUCUCUACAUCACAGAAGUGAGGCAGUGAGCUGCGAGUAGGACAGACUCAACAAAACACACCAGGAAGGGCUUGUCAAGCAUACUACCAGCAUGUCAGGUUGAAGAGCAAAGAGCUGAGACACUGGGAAACUUGCAUGGAGUUAAGUGAGCUUUGCUGAUAAACUCCCUAAUUUCCAAAGAAAAACUCAAGUUUUCAUACUGCUAAUUUUCAUUCUAGCUUUGUUCUUAAUGAUUAAUUUAAGCAGUGUGGUGGAGUUAUUUUUGGAGACACCGAGUCAGAGAAUCAUUUCACACAGCUUUCAUGCUGUGAGAUGGAGCAUUUGGGUUUGAAUAUGAAUUUGAUAGUAGCAACACUAGCAGUGGGAAGCUUUUUCUGCCAAAGGGAGUCAAAAUGAAAUGGAACUGAGAACUCCAUCAGCAAGAGUUAGUCAGGUACAGCUGUGCUGCCAUAGUUCAAGUCCUUUCUUCUUCCCCUCUUAAUCAAGUGAUGGAAAGAGUUCCUGCCUGGCUCAGCAGUUCAAAUCCAAGUCUGCUGUAAAAACCUAAGGCCCUUCAUAAAUGUUGGCCUCUACUAAUUUAUGUCAAGAGAACAGAGGCUGGCUAACUAACCUGGUGAUCUAGAAGAGCUAAUUUUGGCUCAAGAGCUACAUUCAAAUCUGGUUUCUUAAAUCUCAGUCUAAUUCUUUGCAAAAUAAUGAAAACUAGUAGAAGACCAGCUAGGGGUUAGGGGGAAUGUUUCUCACAGAGACAAGGG